Long non-coding RNA from Pantherophis guttatus, 1452 nucleotides. RefSeq lists it as uncharacterized. Lineage: Eukaryota; Metazoa; Chordata; Lepidosauria; Squamata; Colubridae. The record is from RefSeq and is a predicted model, not a curated record.
CUCUCUCUCUCUCUCUCUCUCUCUCUCUCUCUCUCUCUCUCUCUCUCUCCAGCGAUCUGGGAUGUCAUCAAUAUAGAGAUUUUAGGGAGGAGGAAGAGAAGUUACCCGAACCACAGCACAAAGUGACUUUAAAGACCGCGUCAGAUUAGGAGUUUCCCCCGGGGCAGAGAGAGACUGCGGGAUGGAUCGGGACGUGUUUGCCGUCGUGGGAAGCCCCCCCCCCCAUCGACUCCACGCCGGAAGCCUUCCCCGAGGAAAGAAUUUCCGACGCCUGCAAAUAAGGGGCAGGUCAACUGAAGCCAGAAAGCCUGGGUGAGUCAAAGAGGAAGACUACCGUCCGUCUUCUUCUGCUCCGUUCGUCCGUCCGCCCGGCUUUCAGUUUGCGGGACAGAGGCCGGAGCCGAAGAAGUUCCGGAGCCGAUACUGGAUAAUACAAGGAGUGGUGAACAGCUUUUUCCUCCUUCAGUAGCAAGCCAAGGUCUUCAAAAUAAGGACAAAAUGCCUUCCGGGUUAGUCAACUCUGCUCCGAAGUAAGUCUCAGGACAUUCCCUUCUAGGAUGUGGCUCUGAUCUUGUGGGGCCUCCAUCUCCAAUGCCAACAGGUCUGUCCUAAUACCUGCAAGUACCAGGAUGAUAAUGUUUGAGAUCCGUGUAUUGUCCCCCUCUCCAUCUUUCCAUAUUAGACCCCGGGAGUAGUCCUGUUGAUUUGGAAGAGAUGGCUCCUGCCUUUUCUUCAUUAGUGGUGUACAAGGUAGGGGCCAGCAUUGGCUGACAAGAAGUCGGGCUUGGCAUGAGACCACCAGAAAUUCCAAACCUUGGAGUUGGGCGGGGUGUAAGGGUGGAGGGGGGGAGAGAGAUAAUAUUUUGUUGGUUGCCAACAACCCCAAAUGGCCACUCCAGAAAAUAUUUCUGGUAGAGUCACCCAACCUUCAUUGCGGUCACAUAGCUAUCUUCAUUUAUUAAUAACAGGCACAACCAUCGUUGAAUGGCGUUGUACAUCUCUCCAGCGAAGCUUUCGACGCUCAGCCACUGACUUCCCCGAUCUCUGGGAGCGCAAUCUCCCACCCCAAACCGACUCUUAGCAAAUUUGCUUGAAAUUUGCUCAUUUCUAUGGAAGCAACUGCUUCCAUACUUACUUACCAAGCAAGUAAUCUCGCCGAUAGAGAAUUUUCGGCUCAGAUUUAAAGAAAGAUCCAUGGAACAAAAUCGCCUAAAACCAUUAACAUUUUGGGGCAUAUCCCGACCUUGGAGAAGACGAAGGGACCCUACUGCCGAAGUCUCUGGGAAAGGGGUGCGCGGGCGCCCACAUUUCUGAAAAGCACAUCAAUGAAUACUGGAAGGAGGGUUUUAAAAUGUGUUAUCUUCAAUGUUGUCCGUCUCCCUGAAAGAUCUAUUUGUGUUUGUGCCUCUGAGUGUGGAUUUGUGCAAAUAAACAAAAGUUUAUAUUUCUGAA